GUGCCGUUUUCCAUUCCUCUCCACUACAAGCGCCCGCGGGGUCCCCCACCUGUACGGAAUAUCUGCUGUUUGCAGUUGAUUGGUCACCUCCUUUAAUGUGGCACGCCACUGCAGUGUGAACCUGCUGAGGUCUUGAAAAAAGCACAGUGGAUGCUGUUCAAAAUUGAAUGGAGACUGGCCUUUGACUUGUGCCAUAAAUGUGUCCUUAUCAGUUCAUGACCGAAAACAAAUUAUGAC
This is a non-coding RNA of Pelobates cultripes (western spadefoot toad), 237 nucleotides long. Lineage: Eukaryota; Metazoa; Chordata; Amphibia; Anura; Pelobatidae. The record is from the annotation of a GenBank genome assembly.